UUUCCCAUCACCAACCUUUCUUUCUCAUCUCUAAACUUACUGUUUUCCCACUCUCCAAUGGCGCCACCAAAUGACCCCGCCAAGGCAAUCUACACCUCUCCUAAACCAGUGAAAAACGACACUGUCUUCGACCUCUCCGGUGGAAAGCUCUCCGUGCAGAACGUGCCGCUUCUGUCGGAGAUUCCGGCCAUCGUCACCUUCCAGAGCUUCUCCUCCGUGGUGAAAUCCUCCUCCGCGCCGGCUGAGGUCUUUGACCGAGCACUCUCCCUCUCCCACAAGGGCGGCUUCCUCGGCUUCAGCCAGCGCACGCCGUCCGACCGCCUCACCACCUCCAUCGGAAAAUUCACCGGCCGCGACUUCGUCAGCAUCUUCCGGUUCAAGACGUGGUGGUCCACUCAGUGGGUCGGAACCUCGGGCUCCGACAUCCAGAUGGAAACUCAGUGGAUCAUGCUCGACGUCCCCGAGAUCAAAUCCUACGUCGUCGUCAUCCCAAUCGUCGACGGCAGCUUCCGCUCCGCCUUGCAGCCUGGGGCAGACGGCCACGCGCUCCUCUGCGCCGAGAGCGGCUCCUCCUCCGUGAAGGCAGCUACCCUGGGGGCCAUUGCCUACGUCCACGUCUCCGACAACCCCUACACGCUGAUGCGGGACGCCUACACGGCCGUGCGGUGCCACCUCGGCACGUUCCGCCUCAUCGAGGAGAAGGCGCCCCCACCCCUCGUCAACAAGUUCGGCUGGUGCACUUGGGACGCCUUCUACCUCACCGUGGAGCCCGCCGGGAUCUGGCACGGCGUCAAGGAGUUCGCUGAGGGGGGGCUCUCCCCGCGCUUCCUGAUCAUCGACGACGGAUGGCAGAGCAUCAACGUCGAUGGUCAAGACCCGCACGAGGACGCCAAGAACCUUGUUCUUGGCGGCACUCAGAUGACGGCCCGCCUCCACCGCUUCAAGGAGUGCGAGAAGUUCAGAAAGUAUCAAGGCGGAUCAAUCGUGGGGUCCAAAGCCCCCCCAUUCAACCCAAAGAAGCCCAAAAUGUUGAUCAGCAAGGCCAUCGAGCUUGAGAUGGUUGAAAAGGCUAGAGACAAAGCAGUGCUGGCUGGCGUAACCGAUCUCACCGAGUUUGAAAUUGAAAUUAACAAGUUUCAGAAGGAGCUAGACGAGAUGUACGGUGGAGGGGCCGACGACAAGGCCAAGAGCUGCUCCGGCUGCUCUUGCAAGACGGAGGAGACUGGUAUGAAGGCAUUUACCAAGGAUUUGAGGACUAAUUUCAAAGGACUGGAUGAUAUAUAUGUCUGGCAUGCAUUGGCUGGUGCGUGGGGUGGGGUUAGGCCCGGGGCGACUCACCUCAAGGCUAAGAUCGUGCCUUGCAAGCUCUCGCCGGGGCUCGAUGGGACCAUGACGGAUCUUGCCGUCGUCAAGAUCAUCGAGGGCUCUAUUGGCCUCGUCGACCCUGAUCAAGCUGAUGACUUCUAUGACUCUAUGCACUCUUAUCUUGCUAAAGUUGGGAUCACAGGAGUCAAAGUGGAUGUUGUUCAUACACUUGAAUAUGUAAGUGAAGACUAUGGGGGCAGGGUUGAUCUUGCAAAGGCUUAUUACAAGGGUUUAUCCAAAUCCCUUAACAAGAAUUUCAACGGAACUGGUCUUAUUUCCAGCAUGCAGCAAUGUAAUGACUUCUUCUUCCUUGGAACUGAGCAGAUUUCAAUGGGAAGAGUCGGGGAUGACUUUUGGUUCCAAGAUCCAAAUGGCGAUCCAAUGGGAGUUUAUUGGCUACAAGGGGUCCACAUGAUCCAUUGUGCCUACAACAGUAUGUGGAUGGGACAAUUCAUCCAACCAGAUUGGGACAUGUUUCAGUCUGACCAUUGUUGUGCUAAAUUUCACGCUGGAUCAAGAGCUAUUUGUGGAGGCCCAGUUUAUGUCAGUGACUCUUUGGGAGGCCAUGAUUUUAAUCUUCUGAAAAAGCUAGUUUUCCCAGAUGGAACAAUCCCUAAAUGUGUGCAUUUUGCUCUCCCAACCAGAGAUUGCCUCUUUAAGAACCCCCUCUUUGAUAGCAAGUCCAUCCUCAAGAUUUGGAAUUUCAACAAGUAUGGAGGUGUCAUCGGGGCCUUCAACUGCCAGGGCGCUGGGUGGGACCCCAAGGAGCAGAGGAUCAAGGGUUAUUCCGAGUGCUACAAGCCACUCACCGGCUCAGUCCACGUGUCCAAUCUUGAGUGGGAUCAAAAGGCCGAAGCAGCUAGCCUCGGGGAAGCCGAGGAGUACGCUGUCUACCUAACUGAGGCAGAGAAGAUUGUUGUGAGUACAAAGGAAUCGGAUCCUAUUUCGGUGAUUCUGCAGCCGUCCACGUUUGAAAUCUUUAGCUUUGUCCCGAUCAAAAAGAUCGGCCAAGAUGCUAAAUUCGCGCCCAUUGGCUUGACCAAUUUGUUUAACAGUGGAGGGACGAUCCAAGGACUGGUGUACGACGAGUUCGUAGCCAAGAUCGAGGUUAAGGGUGAAGGUACAUUCUUGGCGUAUUCUAGCAUUGUCCCUAAGAAAUCGUAUGUCAAUGGAGUUGAGACUGUUUUCCUAUGGUCCGUAGAUGGGAAGGUGCAAGUUAGCAUUCCUUGGUAUGAAGAGUGUGGAGGAAUUUCUAACAUAACUUUUGUGUAUUAAUCUCGGGUCGGGUCGGGUCGUUUCUCGGUAGCUCAGUAGCAUGAGUGAUUGGUCGUAAGUUCAAAUGCAAUAAUCUAUUUAGGCUUCCGAGUUUGAUAAGUUUGAUCAUGAAGCAUAUGUAAGAAAGUAAGUGUGACUGCCUGAUGGUGCACCAGGCUAAGAAAUUAUGAUAGGGUUUUGUUUUGUAUAAAUAAUGUCCCGUUUAAGAGGUCAAGAGUUACCUAUGGAAGGGAUGUCCUGUUCAACAUUCUGCUGUGCAAGAAUUGCUCUUGCAGCUUUAAUCUUAAUUUUUCUAAUUCCAGAUUUGCUAUCAA
Salvia splendens (bonfire salvia) is the source of this 2954-nucleotide RNA transcript. It is a transcript of the gene named stachyose synthase, with no coding region annotated. The transcript has 5 exons. The record is from RefSeq and is a predicted model, not a curated record. NCBI's taxonomy places the organism in Eukaryota, Viridiplantae, Streptophyta, Magnoliopsida, Lamiales, Lamiaceae.